This 527-nucleotide ribosomal RNA is filed under the name uncultured fungus. RNAcentral describes it as "eukaryotic LSU rRNA". The stretch from base 184 to 337 matches the Rfam family "5.8S ribosomal RNA". Lineage: Eukaryota; Fungi. The record is from RNAcentral.
GGAUCAUUAAUACAUACGGUGUUGCAUCCUGCACAUUCCGUCCCCACUCACUCCGAGUACCUCUCCAUUUGCUUCUCGGAAGUAGGGUCUUGCCCGCCUUGGGCGUGGCUCUGCGGAGGGGAACAACCGAAACUCUUUUGUAUACCAAUGAUCUCAGUCUGAGUUUGUUAGAAGAAACGUUAAAACUUUCAGCAACGGAUCUCUUGGUUCUCGCAUCGAUGAAGAACGCAGCGAAAUGCGAUAAGUAGUGUGAAUUGCAGAAUUCAGUGAAUCAUCGAAUCUUUGAACGCACAUUGCGCCUCGUGGUAUUCCGCGAGGCAUGCCUGUUCGAGCGUCAUCAAAAACCCACUCAAGCUGCCUUGCUUGGUCAUGGAGGAUGAGGAUCGUGAACGGUUCUCCCCUCCGAAAUGGAAAGGCUGACCACUGGAGUUGCCCAGGCGUUGUAAUGGUUUUGUCCCCUCGUCUCGGCCUCUGCUGUGGUCCUGCCCGUCGAACCCCCACAUAUUUCAGGUUGACCUCGGAUCAGG